AGAGAGGUAUUGAGGUAUAUUAUUGCCACACGCUAUGUAUCUAUACCAAAGGAGCUGAAAAAACUGGGGGCUUUGGAUCUAUAAAAUUUAUCUGAAAAUAAUUAGUAUUUUUAUUGACACUUUAUAUUAUACAAAAUAUAUCCAGAGGUAAAUUUGGAACAGUAAUUACUAAAUAAUUUUUGUACGAUAAGUUUCCAACUAAUAUUUAUUUCGAUGAUGAUUACUCAACAUAACUCCAAAUAGAUUCAAACUUUUGUAAACUAGCUCUUUCACUAGACAUGUUGUUGCNNNNNNNNNNCACAACACAUGUAUUUCCACCACCCCAAAUAUAUAUUGGUGCUCGGUAUGCGCAUGCAAGUGCUAUACAAGAACAUCAGAUCUACAAGUUUUCACGUAAUCCCCGUCAUGUGAAAGUUGGUGAAUGGCUUAGCGAAAGGGUGACGGAAAAAUGAAUGGGUUAGUGAUAUAAGAGUAGUCUGAGACCUUGUCAUGUGACCCAGUGCCCCAAGCUGGAAUCCUAUGAACCAGUACCUGACACGUGCCUCAUUUUAAAUCAAGAACGGUACGGCUGCCCGUCGGCACCGGACCGGAUGAGCCGGCACCCUAAAUAUCACAACGCCAGCCACCGAAUAAUCUUCGGUCGGCCACCUACCGCCCCACCUUCCGUGCGCACCACUCCUUCUGACACAAGGCUGGGCCACACAAGCCCCAAUCACAUUCUCGCACGUGCCUGGCAUGCGCGCCAUCAACCAUCACAUCAAAAAAAAAAAACACGGAUUUCGCAAGUAAUAAAAUAUUUAGAUAUUAAUUAACUAAAAAAAGUAACGAACAGCUGGGCUCUCACUGUCUUCUGUUGUACCCCGAGAUCACGGGAAUCACAUUGAUAUAAUAGAAAAUUUUGAAUAUAGUAUAAAAACCCAAUUUAUUCGGGGAGCUAAUUUUAUCGCCAUCAUCCACCGAUAUCCACCGCC
RNAcentral lists this long non-coding RNA (971 nucleotides) under Phoenix dactylifera (date palm). RNAcentral's name for it is "long non-coding RNA (PDAC_LNC005895)". Lineage: Eukaryota; Viridiplantae; Streptophyta; Magnoliopsida; Arecales; Arecaceae. The record is from RNAcentral.